AGGAGAGGUGUUGAUAUCCUUUGCGUCCAAGAAACCAAAUGGAGAGGACAGAAGGCGAAGGAGGUGGAGGAUACCGGCUUCAAGCUGUGGUACAUAGGGACGGCUGCAAACAGAAAUGGCUUAGGCAUCUUGAUCAACAAGAGCCUCAAGUAUGGAGUGGUAGACGUCAAGAGACGUGGGGACCGGAUUAUCCUGGUCAAGCUGGUAGUUGAGGACUUGGUUCUCAAUGUUAUCAACGCGUAUGCCCCGCAAGUAGGCCACAAUGAGAACACCAAGAGGGAGUUCUGGGAAGGCCUGGAAGACAUGGUUAGGAGUGUACCGAUUGGUGAGAAGCUCUUCAUAGGAGGAGACCUCAAUGGCCAUGUGGGUACAUCUAACACAUGUUUUGAAGGGGCGCAUGGGGGCUUUGGCUAUGGCAUCAGGAAUCAAGAAGGAGAAGAUGUCUUAAGCUUUGCUCUAGCCUACAACAUGAUUGUAGCUAACACCCUCUGUAGAAAGAGAGAAUCACAUCUGGUGACUUUUAGUAGUGGCCAACACUCUAGCCAGAUUGAUUUCAUCCUCUCGAGAAGAGAAGAUAGG
RNAcentral lists this ribosomal RNA (579 nucleotides) under Triticum aestivum (bread wheat). RNAcentral describes it as "partial small subunit ribosomal RNA". The record is from RNAcentral. Lineage: Eukaryota; Viridiplantae; Streptophyta; Magnoliopsida; Poales; Poaceae.